Molecule: ribosomal RNA, 473 nt
Filed under: uncultured bacterium
Lineage: Bacteria
Description: bacterial SSU rRNA
Rfam family: Bacterial small subunit ribosomal RNA
Source: RNAcentral
GCAGAGCACUCCGUACGGGAGGCAGCAGUGGGGAAUAUUGCACAAUGGGCGCAAGCCUGAUGCAGCCAUGCCGCGUGUAUGAAGAAGGCCUUCGGGUUGUAAAGUACUUUCAGCAGUGAGGAAGGUGGGUAUGUUAAUAGCAUACUCAUUUGACGUUAGCUGCAGAAGAAGCACCGGCUAACUCCGUGCCAGCAGCCGCGGUAAUACGGAGGGUGCGAGCGUUAAUCGGAAUUACUGGGCGUAAAGCGCAUGCAGGUGGUUUGUUAAGUCAGAUGUGAAAGCCCGGGGCUCAACCUCGGAAUUGCAUUUGAAACUGGCAAACUAGAGUACUGUAGAGGGGGUAGAAUUUCAGGUGUAGCGGUGAAAUGCGUAGAGAUCUGAAGGAAUACCGGUGGCGAAGGCGGCCCCCUGGACAGAUACUGACACUCAGAUGCGAAAGCGUGGGGAGCAAACAGGAUUAGAUACCCUGGUAG